Molecule: ribosomal RNA, 468 nt
Filed under: uncultured bacterium
Lineage: Bacteria
Description: partial 16S ribosomal RNA
Rfam family: Bacterial small subunit ribosomal RNA
Source: RNAcentral
GACGAACGCUGGCGGCGUGCUUAACACAUGCAAGUCGAACGGAAAGGCCCUGCUUUUGUGGGGUGCUCGAGUGGCGAACGGGUGAGUAACACGUGAGUAACCUGCCCUUGACUUUGGGAUAACUUCAGGAAACUGGGGCUAAUACCGGAUAGGAGCUCCUGCUGCAUGGUGGGGGUUGGAAAGUUUCGGCGGGUGGGGAUGGACUCGCGGCUUAUCAGCGUGUUGGUGGGGUAGUGGCUUACCAAGGCUUUGACGGGUAGCCGGCCUGAGAGGGUGACCGGCCACAUUGGGACUGAGAUGCGGCCCAGACUCCUGCGGGGGGCCACAGUGGGAUAUAUUGCACAAUGGGCGGAAGCCUGGUGCAGCAACGCCGCGUGCGGGAUGACGGCCCUCGGGUUGUAAACCGCUUUCGCCUGUGACGAAGCGUGAGUGACGGUAAUGGGUAAAGAAGCACCGGCUAACUACGUG